UAAAUUAAAUGAAUUUUCUUUUAUAUAUCCCUUUUGUUUUGUUUUCUUUCUUAUCUCCUUGAAUGUGAUUCUUGAGUAUAUUAACGACAUUUACUAGGAUAUUAUGCACAUAAUUCUGAUUGUUCAGAUGCAAGCAAAGUGCAUCCAGAAAGACACAGAAUUAAGAAUUGGAUACAUCGGAUUUGGUCAGUAUCUCAAAUGGUGUUCUUAUGUACUAUAAACUGGUAAUAUUAUUGGCAGACGGAUGAGCAAUGAUUGCUCACUAUAUAAGCUGUACUUGGGAAAGGUGAAUGGAACUUUGUUUCGGGGCUUGUUUUGUAAAUGAAAAAUACAUUUUUGAAUUCUUAAAUGCAGCUCAAAUCAUGUAUACAUAAAGCAAUGUAAAACAAAGUUAAGGGGGUAACCACAGUGGUUAAGCCACAUGUUCAACGAUUUUCUGACAAAGCAAGAAUAAUGCACCAAAUCAAAAAGUUGGUUGUGGACCCUUUGCCAGAAUCAAUUGAUUUGCUAUUAAUAGAGGAGCACAGUUGGCCAUUACAUAAACCAACAUUUUUAUUUUAAACUAUUUCAAAUAUCGAUAUCAAACUUGUAAUUCAGUAUACAGAAAAACAAUUUUUUUUUCUCUCUUUGCUCUUCUUGACUUCAUCAAAGCAUCGGAUUCCAUCAUCAUCUCAUUGUCUUAUUCAUCAAAUUUUCCUCAUGACAUGAAAAUCUCUCUCUCUUUCUGGGAAUUCGACUUGAGAAAGUGUAUUUUAACCAGAGUUGGUGCUUAGGAAUAGUAGUCAAACAAGUGGAGAUGGAUUUGGAAGCUAGCCUCCUCUCAUGAUUGGAAUUUUUAUAUUGGUUGGUGGCCUGCCUCUGCUCCUCUUUCUAUUAUCAUGUUGUGGAUUGUUUACUAGCUAGGGAUGAGUAUAGAUUGGGAAAUCAAAUUUACUCAAGAACAUAAAAAUAAAAUUUAAGAUUGUGUGUAAAUAGAGGAGCCAAGUCGAAUGAAAACUUGGAAGUUCCUAAUUGCAACAUGCAAGUAAGGUAUUUUGUUUGCUUUUACUCUCUACCAGCCGAAGUCAAAACCCAAAUUGAGAUUAAAUGGCCCAAAAUGAAGUUUAAUGGCAAAUUUAUGGGCCAUCAUUAUUUGCAAUAUAGCAUUAAGUCCAUAAGUGUAUGGUCCGAUUAAUUUAUUCAGGGGCAAUAUCUGGUCCACUUCCUCUCGGCUCUCCCAAGUUCCAAAUAGGGCAGGAAAAAAACACUAAGAAAGGUAGCCAGCCGUUCAUGGAAAAACAAAACUGAAGAAUAUCUGUUCCAAAGUGGGAUGUUGAGAAUGUCUGAAGAGGCAGGCUUAAGGUAUAAACUGAAUAAGAAACUAAAGAUUGCCAUGGGGAAACCAAAGAAUUACAUUUUCAGGGAAGGAACUAAAAAUAGUGUUGAAAAGGGUCGUGUUGUUGGUGGGAAGAGCUCUAAAACUAAAAGUAGAAAACGUACUGCUAAUAGCUAUGGAGUUGCAGAAGGUAGUGAUGAUGGAGAGGUUCAUUUUGAGGAAAAGCAUACUAAACCUCUAGCUUUAAAUUAUGAUAGGAGAAGAAAGCGAGUUGAUUCUGACCAAUUAAUGUCAUAUAAGAUUCAUAUGAAUGUAGAGGCAACAGAUAGAAAGACGGUCAAAGGUGCCUUAAACAAAGGGAAACAAAGCAAUGGCAAAGCAAUUCGUUCAAUCUGGGUUUCUCCUACGCCAGAGGAUGUUACUUCUAUAAGUAAAGCUACUUCUCGUAAUCCGAAGAAUGUUGGCAGAAGUGCAAAGGAGGUAGAUGGAAUGGGUAGUGCUUCAAAUGAUUCACCAAAGAAACAUGCCAAAGCCAAAGCCAACUCAAGUAAGCGCUUGGAUUCGAGCAUCAAUGCUUCUCCUUUGACUUCUGCCAAGAAAAUAGUUCCGGAUAAGAAAAGCUUAAAUAAUGAUUCGGAAGUUCUUGAUGGUAAGCCAAAGAAAAAAAAGCGGGUCAUUCGGUUAGAUCCUUAUGAUAUCUCAAACAAGCGACUAGAUGAUGGCAUUGCUAUUUAUGAAAGUAGAAAAGAGAAGAGAAAAGAUUUUGAGGAAAAUGCUGCCAUGUCAAAGAAUGCUCAAUUCCGUGGAAUACAGCCCAGUCCCUCUAUCCUUUCCUUUGUGGAAGAUAAUUUGUUAGGUCGUAGACGCACAAUUGAGAUCCAGAGAGCAGGCUACAACACUGAGCUUUCUGCCCCAUUAGAUAAUAUCCCUUUUUCUACCAACUCUGAAAGGGAACGCAUUGAGGAAAAUAUAUUUAGGAACAAGUUGCAGUUUUAUGCUGCUGCAAAGGUUUCAUCAUCAUUUCCAGCUCCUGAUAUUCCCGAGAUUGCAUUUGCAGGGAGGUCAAAUGUUGGGAAGUCAUCACUACUUAAUGCACUCACCAGACAAUGGGGUGUUGUACGGACAUCAGACAAACCAGGCCAUACUCAAACUAUUAAUUUCUUCAAGUUGGGAUCAAAGCUCUGCCUGGUUGAUUUGCCUGGCUAUGGCUUUGCCUAUGCAAAGGAAGAAGUUAAGGAGGCAUGGGAGGAGCUUGUGAAGGAGUUUGUUUCAACAAGAGUUGGUCUAAAACGAGUAUGCCUUCUCAUUGAUACCAAGUGGGGCAUGAAGCCUAGAGAUAAAGAACUCAUUGAUUUAAUGGAAAGAUCUCAAACAAAAUACCAGAUUGUCUUAACCAAGACAGAUACGGUGUUCCCAAUUGAUGUGGCACGUCGUGCAACGCAUAUUGAAGAGAGCCUCAAGGCAAACAGAUCUGUAGUUCAACCUGUGAUGAUGGUGAGCUCAAAAUCUGGAGCUGGUAUCCGAAGUUUAAGAACAGUCCUAUCUAAGAUUGCUCGGUUUGCCAAGAUCUAAUUAUGGCAAGAUCAUAACUGGUGAAAUUUCUCCCAAGCCUGUAAUUGCCUGAUAUAUACUAACUAAUAAAUGCAUCAGGAAUGGCUUCCAACCGGACAGAUUUACCUUUUAACUAGUUUUAUGACGUAUCCUACUGCAGAUGCAACCGUUUUAGAGUAGGCAAUGGGAAGAUGAAACUAAAAGGCAGGAUGAAGUAGAGUAGUUGAGAUUACAUGAGCUUUGGACCUGGUUUUGUCAUUGUUCUCAGCUGGAACUUUAUUUAAUCAGCAGAAGAUGAAAAACAGGAAUUGUUGUUAUUAUUGAGAGGUAUUGAUAGGGUGUCUCAGUCACUUGGUUGCAUCUAUCUUGAAGUUUCUAAAAACAAAGCUUAGGGAUGAGAUCUUUUCUUGCCAGUAUAAAGAAGGAAGGAGAUGCUAGAAUGAGCUUGUAUUUCCAAAACGAAGUUGUGGUUUAAAACUUAUUGAAUUAUUA
Non-coding RNA from Durio zibethinus, 3358 nucleotides. Lineage: Eukaryota; Viridiplantae; Streptophyta; Magnoliopsida; Malvales; Malvaceae. The record is from RefSeq and is a predicted model, not a curated record.